CGGGACGGGUGAGUAACGCGUGGAAAACCUGCCGUAUACUGGGGGAUAACACUUAGAAAUAGGUGCUAAUACCGCAUAAGCGCACAGCUUCGCAUGAAGUGGUGUGAAAAACUCUGGUGGUAUACGAUGGUUCCGCGUCUGAUUAGCUUGUUGGUGGGGUAAUGGCUCACCAAGGCGACGAUCAGUAGCCGGCCUGAGAGGGUGAACGGCCACAUUGGGACUGAGACACGGCCCAAACUCCUACGGAAGGCAGCAG
RNAcentral lists this ribosomal RNA (256 nucleotides) under uncultured bacterium. Its description in RNAcentral is "partial 16S ribosomal RNA". It matches the Rfam family "Bacterial small subunit ribosomal RNA", at positions 98 to 354 of the family's 1533-position model. The record is from RNAcentral.